UACGAAGGGGGCUAGCGUUGCUCGGAAUCACUGGGCGUAAAGGGUGCGUAGGUGGGUCUUUAAGUCAGAGGUGAAAGCCUGGAGCUCAACUCCAGAACUGCCCUUGAUACUGAGGAUCUUGAGUAUGGGAGAGGUGAGUGGAACUGCGAGUGUAGAGGCGAAAUUCGUAGAUAUUCGCAAGAACACCAGUGGCGAAGGCGGCUCACUGGCCCAUAACUGACGCUGAGGCACGAAAGCGUGGGGAGCAAACAGG
RNAcentral lists this ribosomal RNA (253 nucleotides) under uncultured bacterium. Its description in RNAcentral is "partial 16S ribosomal RNA". It matches the Rfam family "Bacterial small subunit ribosomal RNA", at positions 524 to 776 of the family's 1533-position model. The record is from RNAcentral.